AUUGAACGCUGGCGGCAGGCUUAACACAUGCAAGUCGAGCGGGGUGAUGGUGCUUGCACUAUCACUUAGCGGCGGACGGGUGAGUAAUGCUUAGGAAUCUGCCUAUUAGUGGGGGACAACAUCUCGAAAGGGAUGCUAAUACCGCAUACGUCCUACGGGAGAAAGCAGGGGAUCACUUGUGACCUUGCGCUAAUAGAUGAGCCUAAGUCGGAUUAGCUAGUUGGUGGGGUAAAGGCCUACCAAGGCGACGAUCUGUAGCGGGUCUGAGAGGAUGAUCCGCCACGCUGGGACUGGGACACGGCCCAGACUCCUACGGGAGGCAGCAGUGGGGAAUAUUGGACAAUGGGGGGAAGCCUGAUCCAGCCAUGCCGCGUGUGUGAAGAAGGCCUUAUGGUUGUAAAGCACUUUAAGCGAGGAGGAGGCUCUUUUGGUUAAUACCCAAGAUGAGUGGACGUUACUCGCAGAAUAAGCACCGGCUAACUCUGUGCCAGCCGCCGCCGUAA
RNAcentral lists this ribosomal RNA (503 nucleotides) under uncultured bacterium. Its description in RNAcentral is "partial 16S ribosomal RNA". It matches the Rfam family "Bacterial small subunit ribosomal RNA", at positions 30 to 523 of the family's 1533-position model. The record is from RNAcentral.